UUAAGCAUAUCAAUAAGCGGAGGAAAAGAAACUAACAAGUAUUCCCUCAGUAACGGCGAGCGAAGUGGGAAGAGCUCGAGCCUGAAAUCUCUGGCAGUCGCUGUCAGCGAAUUGUGGCCGGGAGAGACAGCCUAAGCUCCGACCGGCGCUGUCGAAGUUGACCUGGAAAGGCACGUCGCAGAGGGUGAGAGCCCCGUGUGCGGCACCGCCGGGCGGAGUUGCUACUGUCUUCGGAGAGUCGGGUUGUUUGGGAAUGCAGCCCAAAGUGGGUGGUAAACUCCAUCUAAAGCUAAAUACUGGCACGAGACCGAUAGCAAACAAGUACCAUGAGGGAAAGGUGAAAAGCACUUUGAAAAGAGAGUCAAAAAGACCGCGAAACCGUUAGGAGGGAAACGAAUGCGGCUGAAUCGGCACUCCGUCAGGCUCAGGAGACGUUGGUGGCCAUUCCCUGGCGGCGACAGCUUCGGCGUCGUCGUCGGGAUACGUCGCCAUCUCCUCUGCAUUCCUGCGGAGCGCCGGCCAACGACGGUCGAUCCUGGCUCAGAAGGGUGCGUCGGGUAGGUGGCCCUCUCCGGAGGGAACUUAUAGCCGGCCGCCUGGCCAGUCCGGGGCCGACCGAGGAGAGUCGUGAAGUUUCACGCGUGCAGUGCAAGCCCCGUCCGCGGGGCCGCGUCACUUCUGUUCGUUCGGGCAUCGCACCGUGGACUGCGUGCAGUGUCCGGUGUAGGCUGUCUGUUCGUGCGGGAGAACGGCGACGUGUUGCGCUGCGGUCGUUGGUGCUCGAAUGGCCGCAUCCGACCCGUCUU
RNAcentral lists this ribosomal RNA (806 nucleotides) under Quasillina brevis. Its description in RNAcentral is "eukaryotic LSU rRNA". It matches the Rfam family "Eukaryotic large subunit ribosomal RNA", at positions 34 to 655 of the family's 3401-position model. Lineage: Eukaryota; Metazoa; Porifera; Demospongiae; Polymastiida; Polymastiidae. The record is from RNAcentral.